ACUACGGGAGGCAGCAGUGAGGAAUAUUGGUCAAUGGGCGGGAGCCUGAACCAGCCAAGUCGCGUGAGGGAAGACGGUCCUAUGGAUUGUAAACCUCUUUAGGCGGGGAGCAAUGCCGGGCACGCGUGCCCGGAGGGAGAGUACCCGCAGAAUAAGCAUCGGCUAACUCCGUGCCAGCAGCCGCGGUAAUAAGGAGGAUACGAGCGCUAUCCGGGUUUAAUGGGUUUAAAGGGUGCGUAGGCGGAAUUUUCAGUCAGCGGUAAAAUGUCCGGGCUCAACCCGGGCCGGCCGUUGAAACUGGGGAUCUUGAGUGGGCGAGAAGUAUGCGGAAUGCGUGGUGUAGCGGUGAAAUGCAUAGAUAUCACGCAGAACUCCGAUUGCGAAGGCAGCAUACCGGCGCCCGACUGACGCUGAGGCACGAAAGCGUGGGGAUCGAACAGGAUUAGAUACCCUAGUAGUC
RNAcentral lists this ribosomal RNA (460 nucleotides) under uncultured bacterium. RNAcentral's name for it is "partial 16S ribosomal RNA". It matches the Rfam family "Bacterial small subunit ribosomal RNA", at positions 338 to 795 of the family's 1533-position model. The record is from RNAcentral.